Molecule: small nuclear RNA, 158 nt
Filed under: Mustela putorius furo (domestic ferret)
Lineage: Eukaryota; Metazoa; Chordata; Mammalia; Carnivora; Mustelidae
Description: U2 spliceosomal RNA
Rfam family: U2 spliceosomal RNA
About the family: U2 is a small nuclear RNA (snRNA) component of the spliceosome (involved in pre-mRNA splicing). Complementary binding between U2 snRNA (in an area lying towards the 5' end but 3' to hairpin I) and the branchpoint sequence (BPS) of the intron results the bulging out of an unpaired adenosine, on the BPS, which initiates a nucleophilic attack at the intronic 5' splice site, thus starting the first of two transesterification reactions that mediate splicing.
Source: Rfam by way of RNAcentral
AUCGCUUCUCGGCCUUUUGGCUAAGAUCAAGUGUAGUAUCUGUUCUUAUCAGUUUAAUAUCUGCACAUUGUAAUAAAGCAAGGAUUUCUGUAUCAGAAAUGCUUGGACUUCUAAUUUAGGCUCUGUCCCACCCUUCUGGGACACUUGUUAAAUAAGUU